RNAcentral lists this ribosomal RNA (458 nucleotides) under uncultured bacterium. RNAcentral describes it as "partial 16S ribosomal RNA". It matches the Rfam family "Bacterial small subunit ribosomal RNA", at positions 338 to 795 of the family's 1533-position model. The record is from RNAcentral.
CCUACGGGGGGCAGCAGUGAGGAAUAUUGGUCAAUGGCCGGAAGGCUGAACCAGCCAUGCCGCGUGAAGGUCAGUGCCCUAUGGGCGUUAAACUUCUUUUGUGCGGGAGCAAUAAUGGUCACGUGUGGCCAGACGAGAGUACCGUACGAAUAAGCAUCGGCUAACUCCGUGCCAGCAGCCGCGGUAAUACGGGGGAUGCAAGCGUUAUCCGGAUUUAUUGGGUUUAAAGGGUGCGCAGGCGGAGGUGCAAGUCAGCGGUCAAAUUGCGGGGCUCAACCCCGUACUGCCGUUGAAACUGCAUCCCUUGAGUGCGCGAGAAGUAUGCGGAAUGCGUGGUGUAGCGGUGAAAUGCAUAGAUAUCACGCAGAACUCCGAUUGCGAAGGCAGCUUACUAAACUGCCACUGACAUUGAUGCUCGAAAGUGUGGGUAUCAAACAGGAUUAGAUACCCCAGUAGUC